This 2928-nucleotide ribosomal RNA is filed under the name Salmonella enterica subsp. enterica serovar Newport. Its description in RNAcentral is "bacterial LSU rRNA". It matches the Rfam family "Bacterial large subunit ribosomal RNA". The record is from RNAcentral. Lineage: Bacteria; Pseudomonadati; Pseudomonadota; Gammaproteobacteria; Enterobacterales; Enterobacteriaceae. RNAcentral also lists the same sequence under 11 other names.
GGGUUGUGAGGUUAAGCGACUAAGCGUACACGGUGGAUGCCCUGGCAGUCAGAGGCGAUGAAGGGCGUGCUAAUCUGCGAUAAGCGCCGGUAAGGUGAUAUGAACCGUUAUAACCGGCGAUACCCGAAUGGGGAAACCCAGUGUGAUUCGUCACACUAUCAUUAACUGAAUCCAUAGGUUAAUGAGGCGAACCGGGGGAACUGAAACAUCUAAGUACCCCGAGGAAAAGAAAUCAACCGAGAUUCCCCCAGUAGCGGCGAGCGAACGGGGAGGAGCCCAGAGCCUGAAUCAGCAUGUGUGUUAGUGGAAGCGUCUGGAAAGGCGCGCGAUACAGGGUGACAGCCCCGUACACAAAAGCGCAUGUGCUGUGAGCUCGAUGAGUAGGGCGGGACACGUGGUAUCCUGUCUGAAUAUGGGGGGACCAUCCUCCAAGGCUAAAUACUCCUGACUGACCGAUAGUGAACCAGUACCGUGAGGGAAAGGCGAAAAGAACCCCGGCGAGGGGAGUGAAAAAGAACCUGAAACCGUGUACGUACAAGCAGUGGGAGCACAGGUUUACCUGUGUGACUGCGUACCUUUUGUAUAAUGGGUCAGCGACUUAUAUUCUGUAGCAAGGUUAACCGUAUAGGGGAGCCGUAGGGAAACCGAGUCUUAACCGGGCGUUAAGUUGCAGGGUAUAGACCCGAAACCCGGUGAUCUAGCCAUGGGCAGGUUGAAGGUUGGGUAACACUAACUGGAGGACCGAACCGACUAAUGUUGAAAAAUUAGCGGAUGACCUGUGGCUGGGGGUGAAAGGCCAAUCAAACCGGGAGAUAGCUGGUUCUCCCCGAAAGCUAUUUAGGUAGCGCCUCGUGAAUUCAUCUCCGGGGGUAGAGCACUGUUUCGGCUAGGGGGCCAUCCCGGCUUACCAACCCGAUGCAAACUGCGAAUACCGGAGAAUGUUAUCACGGGAGACACACGGCGGGUGCUAACGUCCGUCGUGAAGAGGGAAACAACCCAGACCGCCAGCUAAGGUCCCAAAGUCAUGGUUAAGUGGGAAACGAUGUGGGAAGGCCCAGACAGCCAGGAUGUUGGCUUAGAAGCAGCCAUCAUUUAAAGAAAGCGUAAUAGCUCACUGGUCGAGUCGGCCUGCGCGGAAGAUGUAACGGGGCUAAACCAUGCACCGAAGCUGCGGCAGCGACACUGUGUGUUGUUGGGUAGGGGAGCGUUCUGUAAGCCUGUGAAGGUGUGUCGUGAGGCAUGCUGGAGGUAUCAGAAGUGCGAAUGCUGACAUAAGUAACGAUAAAGCGGGUGAAAAGCCCGCUCGCCGGAAGACCAAGGGUUCCUGUCCAACGUUAAUCGGGGCAGGGUGAGUCGACCCCUAAGGCGAGGCCGAAAGGCGUAGUCGAUGGGAAACAGGUUAAUAUUCCUGUACUUGGUGUUACUGCGAAGGGGGGACGGAGAAGGCUAUGUUGGCCGGGCGACGGUUGUCCCGGUUUAAGCGUGUAGGUGUGUGUUCCAGGUAAAUCCGGUUCACUUUAACACUGAGGCGUGAUGACGAGGCACUACGGUGCUGAAGCAACAAAUGCCCUGCUUCCAGGAAAAGCCUCUAAGCAUCAGGUAACAUCAAAUCGUACCCCAAACCGACACAGGUGGUCAGGUAGAGAAUACCAAGGCGCUUGAGAGAACUCGGGUGAAGGAACUAGGCAAAAUGGUGCCGUAACUUCGGGAGAAGGCACGCUGACACGUAGGUGAAGUGAUUUACUCAUGGAGCUGAAGUCAGUCGAAGAUACCAGCUGGCUGCAACUGUUUAUUAAAAACACAGCACUGUGCAAACACGAAAGUGGACGUAUACGGUGUGACGCCUGCCCGGUGCCGGAAGGUUAAUUGAUGGGGUCAGCGCAAGCGAAGCUCCUGAUCGAAGCCCCGGUAAACGGCGGCCGUAACUAUAACGGUCCUAAGGUAGCGAAAUUCCUUGUCGGGUAAGUUCCGACCUGCACGAAUGGCGUAAUGAUGGCCAGGCUGUCUCCACCCGAGACUCAGUGAAAUUGAACUCGCUGUGAAGAUGCAGUGUACCCGCGGCAAGACGGAAAGACCCCGUGAACCUUUACUAUAGCUUGACACUGAACAUUGAGCCUUGAUGUGUAGGAUAGGUGGGAGGCUUUGAAGCGUGGACGCCAGUCUGCGUGGAGCCGACCUUGAAAUACCACCCUUUAAUGUUUGAUGUUCUAACGUGGACCCGUAAUCCGGGUUGCGGACAGUGUCUGGUGGGUAGUUUGACUGGGGCGGUCUCCUCCUAAAGAGUAACGGAGGAGCACGAAGGUUGGCUAAUCCUGGUCGGACAUCAGGAGGUUAGUGCAAUGGCAUAAGCCAGCUUGACUGCGAGCGUGACGGCGCGAGCAGGUGCGAAAGCAGGUCAUAGUGAUCCGGUGGUUCUGAAUGGAAGGGCCAUCGCUCAACGGAUAAAAGGUACUCCGGGGAUAACAGGCUGAUACCGCCCAAGAGUUCAUAUCGACGGCGGUGUUUGGCACCUCGAUGUCGGCUCAUCACAUCCUGGGGCUGAAGUAGGUCCCAAGGGUAUGGCUGUUCGCCAUUUAAAGUGGUACGCGAGCUGGGUUUAGAACGUCGUGAGACAGUUCGGUCCCUAUCUGCCGUGGGCGCUGGAGAACUGAGGGGGGCUGCUCCUAGUACGAGAGGACCGGAGUGGACGCAUCACUGGUGUUCGGGUUGUCAUGCCAAUGGCACUGCCCGGUAGCUAAAUGCGGAAGAGAUAAGUGCUGAAAGCAUCUAAGCACGAAACUUGCCCCGAGAUGAGUUCUCCCUGAGACUUAGAGUCUCCUGAAGGAACGUUGAAGACGACGACGUUGAUAGGCCGGGUGUGUAAGCGCAGCGAUGCGUUGAGCUAACCGGUACUAAUGAACCGUGAGGCUUAACCUUACAACGCCGAAG